RNAcentral lists this transfer RNA (73 nucleotides) under seawater metagenome. RNAcentral's name for it is "tRNA-Thr". It matches the Rfam family "tRNA". Rfam says of the family: Transfer RNA (tRNA) molecules are approximately 80 nucleotides in length. Their secondary structure includes four short double-helical elements and three loops (D, anti-codon, and T loops). Further hydrogen bonds mediate the characteristic L-shaped molecular structure. tRNAs have two regions of fundamental functional importance: the anti-codon, which is responsible for specific mRNA codon recognition, and the 3' end, to which the tRNAs corresponding amino acid is attached (by aminoacyl-tRNA synthetases). tRNAs cope with the degeneracy of the genetic code in two manners: having more than one tRNA (with a specific anti-codon) for a particular amino acid; and 'wobble' base-pairing, i.e. permitting non-standard base-pairing at the 3rd anti-codon position. The record is from RNAcentral.
GCCCCUUUAGCUCAGCUGGUAGAGCGACUGAUUUGUAAUCAGUGGGUCGGGAGUUCGAGUCUUCCAGGGGGCU